This 826-nucleotide ribosomal RNA is filed under the name Clonostachys rhizophaga. Its description in RNAcentral is "partial large subunit ribosomal RNA". It matches the Rfam family "Eukaryotic large subunit ribosomal RNA", at positions 75 to 937 of the family's 3401-position model. The record is from RNAcentral. Lineage: Eukaryota; Fungi; Ascomycota; Sordariomycetes; Hypocreales; Bionectriaceae.
UUGCCCUAGUAACGGCGAGUGAAGCGGCAACAGCUCAAAUUUGAAAUCUGGCGCAAGCCCGAGUUGUAAUUUGUAGAGGAUGUUUCUGGCGACGUGCCUUCCGAGUUCCCUGGAACGGGACGCCAUAGAGGGUGAGAGCCCCGUACGGUUGGAUGCCUAGCCUCUGUGAAACUCCUUCGACGAGUCGAGUAGUUUGGGAAUGCUGCUCUAAAUGGGAGGUAUACGUCUUCUAAAGCUAAAUACCGGCCAGAGACCGAUAGCGCACAAGUAGAGUGAUCGAAAGAUGAAAAGCACUUUGAAAAGAGGGUUAAAAAGUACGUGAAAUUGUUGAAAGGGAAGCGUUCAUGACCAGACUUGGGCAGGUUGAUCAUCCGUGGUUCUCCGCGGUGCACUCUGCCUGCCCAGGCCAGCAUCAGUUCGCCCCGGGGGAUAAAGGCUUUGGGAAUGUGGCUCCCUCGGGAGUGUUAUAGCCCACUGUGUAAUACCCUGGGGUGGACUGAGGUUCGCGCUCUGCAAGGAUGCUGGCGUAAUGGUCAUCAACGACCCGUCUUGAAACACGGACCAAGGAGUCGUCUUCGUAUGCGAGUGUUCGGGUGUCAAACCCCUACGCGUAAUGAAAGUGAACGUAGGAGAGAGCUUCGGCGCAUCUCCGACCGAUCCUGAUGUUCUCGGAUGGAUUUGAGUAAGAGCAUACGGGGCCGGACCCGAAAGAAGGUGAACUAUGCCUGUAUAGGGUGAAGCCAGAGGAAACUCUGGUGGAGGCUCGCAGCGGUUCUGACGUGCAAAUCGAUCGUCAAAUAUGGGCAUGGGGGCGAAAGACUAAUCG